RNAcentral lists this transfer RNA (74 nucleotides) under Acidobacteriota bacterium. RNAcentral's name for it is "Acidobacteria bacterium tRNA-Val". It matches the Rfam family "tRNA". Rfam says of the family: Transfer RNA (tRNA) molecules are approximately 80 nucleotides in length. RNAcentral also lists the same sequence under 1 other name. Lineage: Bacteria; Pseudomonadati; Acidobacteriota. The record is from RNAcentral.
GCCCGGUUAGCUCAGUUGGCUAGAGCGUCCGGCUUACAUCCGGAAGGUCGGGGGUUCGAGUCCCUCACCGGGCA